GUGCCAGCCGCCGCGGUAAUACGGAGGGUGCGAGCGUUAAUCGGAAUUACUGGGCGUAAAGCGUGCGUAGGCGGUUAUUUAAGUCAGAUGUGAAAGCCCCGGGCUUAACCUGGGAACUGCAUUUGAUACUGGGUAACUCGAGUUUACUAGAGGAGAGUGGAAUUUCAGGUGUAGCGGUGAAAUGCGUAGAGAUCUGAAGGAACACCAGUGGCGAAGGCGGCUCUCUGGAGUAAAACUGACGCUGAGGUACGAAAGCGUGGGUAGCAAACAGGAUUAGAUACCCUGGUAGUCCACGCCGUAAACGAUGUCAACUAGCCGUUGGGUUUAUUAAUGAACUUAGUGGUGCAGCUAACGCAUUAAGUUGACCGCCUGGGGAGUACGGCCGCAAGGUUAAAACUCAAAUGAAUUGACGGGGGCCCGCACAAGCGGUGGAGCAUGUGGUUUAAUUCGAUGCAACGCGAAGAACCUUACCUACCCUUGACAUCCUCGGAACUUGUCAGAGAUGACUUGGUGCCUUCGGGAACCGAGAGACAGGUGCUGCAUGGCUGUCGUCAGCUCGUGUCGUGAGAUGUUGGGUUAAGUCCCGUAACGAGCGCAACCCUUAUCCUUAGUUGC
This 615-nucleotide ribosomal RNA is filed under the name uncultured marine bacterium. Its description in RNAcentral is "bacterial SSU rRNA". It matches the Rfam family "Bacterial small subunit ribosomal RNA", at positions 505 to 1118 of the family's 1533-position model. The record is from RNAcentral. RNAcentral also lists the same sequence under 1 other name.